AAAUUGAAGAGUUUGAUCAUGGCUCAGAUUGAACGCUGGCGGCAGGCCUAACACAUGCAAGUCGAACGGUAACAGGAAACAGCUUGCUGUUUCGCUGACGAGUGGCGGACGGGUGAGUAAUGUCUGGGAAACUGCCUGAUGGAGGGGGAUAACUACUGGAAACGGUAGCUAAUACCGCAUAACGUCGCAAGACCAAAGAGGGGGACCUUCGGGCCUCUUGCCAUCGGAUGUGCCCAGAUGGGAUUAGCUAGUAGGUGGGGUAACGGCUCACCUAGGCGACGAUCCCUAGCUGGUCUGAGAGGAUGACCAGCCACACUGGAACUGAGACACGGUCCAGACUCCUACGGGAGGCAGCAGUGGGGAAUAUUGCACAAUGGGCGCAAGCCUGAUGCAGCCAUGCCGCGUGUAUGAAGAAGGCCUUCGGGUUGUAAAGUACUUUCAGCGGGGAGGAAGG
RNAcentral lists this ribosomal RNA (454 nucleotides) under Escherichia coli. RNAcentral's name for it is "partial 16S ribosomal RNA". It matches the Rfam family "Bacterial small subunit ribosomal RNA", at positions 1 to 451 of the family's 1533-position model. Lineage: Bacteria; Pseudomonadati; Pseudomonadota; Gammaproteobacteria; Enterobacterales; Enterobacteriaceae. RNAcentral also lists the same sequence under 2 other names. The record is from RNAcentral.